GAUGAACGCUGGCGGCGUGCCUAAUACAUGCAAGUCGAGCGAACAGAUAAGGAGCUUGCUCCUUUGACGUUAGCGGCGGACGGGUGAGUAACACGUGGGUAACCUACCUAUAAGACUGGAAUAACUCCGGGAAACCGGGGCUAAUGCCGGAUAACAUUUAGAACCGCAUGGUUCUAAAGUGAAAGAUGGUUUUGCUAUCACUUAUAGAUGGACCCGCGCCGUAUUAGCUAGUUGGUAAGGUAACGGCUUACCAAGGCAACGAUACGUAGCCGACCUGGGAGGGUGAUCGGCCACACUGGAACUGAGACACGGUCCAGACUCCUACGGGAGGCAGCAGUAGGGAAUCUUCCGCAAUGGGCGAAAGCCUGACGGAGCAACGCCGCGUGAGUGAUGAAGGUCUUCGGAUCGUAAAACUCUGUUAUUAGGGAAGAACAAAUGUGUAAGUAACUGUGCACGUCUUGACGGUACCUAAACAGAAAGCCACGGCUAACUACGUG
RNAcentral lists this ribosomal RNA (497 nucleotides) under uncultured bacterium. Its description in RNAcentral is "partial 16S ribosomal RNA". It matches the Rfam family "Bacterial small subunit ribosomal RNA", at positions 28 to 507 of the family's 1533-position model. The record is from RNAcentral.